UACGUAGGCAGCGAGCGUUGUUCGGAGUUACUGGGCGUAAAGAGUGUGUAGGCGGUGUCGUAAGUUCGGUGUGAAAUCUCCCGGCUUAACUGGGAGGGUGCGCCGGAAACUGCGAGACUUGAGUACGGGAGAGGGAUGCGGAAUUCCUGGUGUAGCGGUGAAAUGCGUAGAUAUCAGGAGGAACACCUGCGGUGUAGACGGCUUCCUGGACCGUUACUGACGCUGAGACACGAAAGCGUGGGGAGCAAACAGG
This 253-nucleotide ribosomal RNA is filed under the name uncultured bacterium. RNAcentral describes it as "partial 16S ribosomal RNA". It matches the Rfam family "Bacterial small subunit ribosomal RNA", at positions 524 to 776 of the family's 1533-position model. The record is from RNAcentral.